UUAUACCGUGAAACUGCGAAUGGCUCAUUAAAUCAGUUAUCGUUUAUUUGAUAAUACCUUACUACUUGGAUAACCGUGGUAAUUCUAGAGCUAAUACAUGCUGAAAAUCCCGACUUCGGAAGGGAUGUGUUUAUUAGAUAAAAAACCAAUGCCCUUCGGGGCUCCUUGGUGAUUCAUAAUAACUUUACGGAUCGCAUAGCCUUGCGCUGGCGACGGUUCAUUCAAAUUUCUGCCCUAUCAACUUUCGAUGGUAAGGUAUUGGCUUACCAUGGUUUCAACGGGUAACGGGGAAUUAGGGUUCGAUUCCGGAGAGGGAGCCUGAGAAACGGCUACCACAUCCAAGGAAGGCAGCAGGCGCGCAAAUUACCCAAUCCCGAUUCGGGGAGGUAGUGACAAUAAAUACUGAUACAGGGCUCUUUUGGGUCUUGUAAUUGGAAUGAGUACAAUUUAAACCUCUUAACGAGGAACAAUUGGAGGGCAAGUCUGGUGCCAGCAGCCGCGGUAAUUCCAGCUCCAAUAGCGUAUAUUAAAGUUGUUGCAGUUAAAAAGCUCGUAGUUGAAACUUGGGUCUGGCUGGCGGGUCCGCCUCACCGCGUGCACUCGACUGGCUGGGCCUUCCUUCUGAAGAACCUCAUGCCCUUUACUGGGCGUGUUGGGGAAUCAGGACUUUUACUUUGAAAAAAUUAGAGUGUUCAAAGCAGGCCUUUGCUCGAAUACGUUAGCAUGGAAUAAUAAAAUAGGGCGUGCGUUUCUAUUUUGUUGGUUUCUAGAGACGCCGCAAUGAUUAACAGGAACAGUCGGGGGCAUCAGUAUUCAGUUGUCAGAGGUGAAAUUCUUGGAUUUACUGAAGACUAACUACUGCGAAAGCAUUUGCCAAGGAUGUUUUCAUUAAUCAGUGAACGAAAGUUAGGGGAUCGAAGACGAUCAGAUACCGUCGUAGUCUUAACCGUAAACUAUGCCGACUAGGGAUCGGGCGAUGUUCUUUUUCUGACUCGCUCGGCACCUUACGAGAAAUCAAAGUUUUUGGGUUCUGGGGGGAUUAUGGUCGCAAGGCUGAAACUUAAAGAAAUUGACGGAAGGUCACCACCAGGCGUGGAGCCUGCGGCUUAAUUUGACUCAACACGGGGAAACUCACCAGGUUCAGAUGAAAUAAGGAUUGACAGAUUGAGAGCUCUUUCUUGAUUUUUCAGGUGGUGGUGCAUGGCCGUUCUUAGUUCGUGGGGUGACUUGUCUGCUUAAUUGCGAUAACGAGCGAGACCUUACUCUGCUAAAUAGCCAGGCUAGCUUUGGCUGGUCGCCGGCUUCUUAGAGAGACUAUCAACUCAAGUUGAUGGAAGUUUGAGGCAAUAACAGGUCUGUGAUGCCCUUAGAUAUUCUGGGCCGCACGCGCGCUACACUGACAGAGCCAACGAGUUCUUUCCCUUGGCCGAAAGGUCUGGGUAAUCUUGUUAAACUCUGUCGUGCUGGGGAUAAAGCAUUGCAAUUAUUGCUUUUCAACGAGGAAUGCCUAGUAAGCGCGUGUCAUCAGCAUGCGUUGAUUACGUCCCUGACCUUUGUACACACCGCCCGUCGCUACUACCGAUUGAAUGGCUCAGUGAGGCCUUCGGACUGGCUCGGGGAGGUUGGCAACGACCACCCCAAGCCGGAAAGUUGGUCAAACUCG
Molecule: ribosomal RNA, 1663 nt
Filed under: Drechslera andersenii
Lineage: Eukaryota; Fungi; Ascomycota; Dothideomycetes; Pleosporales; Pleosporaceae
Description: SSU rRNA
Rfam family: Eukaryotic small subunit ribosomal RNA
Source: RNAcentral